UUCCGGUUGAUCCCGCCGGACCUUACUGCUAUCGGGGUGGGACUAAGACAUGCGAGUCGAGCGUCUCUAGCUAUGUUGAGACGUGGCAGACGGCUCAGUAACGCGUGGCUAACCUGCCCUCAGGACGAAGAUAACCCCGGGAAACUGGGGAUAAUACUCGAUAGGUGAGGAUGUCUGGAAUGACUUCUCUCCUAAAGGGCUUAGAUACAUGCUUCUAAGUCGCCUGGGGAUGGGGCCGCGCCCGAUCAGGCUGUUGGUGAGGUAAUGGCCCACCAAGACUAUUACAGGUACGGGCUCUGAGAGGAGUAGCCCGGAGAUGGGUACUGAGACACGGACCCAGGCCCUAUGGGGCGCAGCAGGCGAGAAAACUUUGCAAUGUGCGAAAGCACGACAAGGUUAAUCCGAGUGGUUUGUGCUAAACGAACCUUUUGUCAGUCCUAGAAACACUAACGAAUAAGGGGUGGGCAAGUUCUGGUGUCAGCCGCCGCGGUAAAACCAGCAAGGGCGAAUUCCAG
RNAcentral lists this ribosomal RNA (515 nucleotides) under uncultured archaeon. RNAcentral describes it as "bacterial SSU rRNA". It matches the Rfam family "Archaeal small subunit ribosomal RNA", at positions 1 to 504 of the family's 1478-position model. The record is from RNAcentral.